Molecule: ribosomal RNA, 705 nt
Filed under: uncultured Leuconostoc sp.
Lineage: Bacteria; Bacillati; Bacillota; Bacilli; Lactobacillales; Lactobacillaceae
Description: bacterial SSU rRNA
Rfam family: Bacterial small subunit ribosomal RNA
Source: RNAcentral
GAUGAACGCUGGCGGCGUGCCUAAUACAUGCAAGUCGAACGCACAGCGAAAGGUGCUUGCACCUUUCAAGUGAGUGGCGAACGGGUGAGUAACACGUGGAUAACCUACCUCAAGGUUGGGGAUAACAUUUGGAAACAGAUGCUAAUACCGAAUAAAACUUAGUAUCGCAUGAUACCAGGUUAAAAGGCGCUACGGCGUCACCUAGAGAUGGAUCCGCGGUGCAUUAGUUAGUUGGUGGGGUAAAGGCUUACCAAGACAAUGAUGCAUAGCCGAGUUGAGAGACUGAUCGGCCACAUUGGGACUGAGACACGGCCCAAACUCCUACGGGAGGCUGCAGUAGGGAAUCUUCCACAAUGGGCGAAAGCCUGAUGGAGCAACGCCGCGUGUGUGAUGAAGGCUUUCGGGUCGUAAAGCACUGUUGUAUGGGAAGAACAGCUAGAGUAGGGAAUGACUUUAGUUUGACGGUACCAUACCAGAAAGGGACGGCUAAAUACGUGCCAGCAGCCGCGGUAAUACGUAUGUCCCGAGCGUUAUCCGGAUUUAUUGGGCGUAAAGCGAGCGCAGACGGUUAAUUAAGUCUGAUGUGAAAGCCCGGAGCUCAACUCCGGAAAGGCAUUGGAAACUGGUUAACUUGAGUGCAGUAGAGGUAAGUGGAACUCCAUGUGUAGCGGUGGAAUGCGUAGAUUUAUGGAAGAACACCAGCGG